UACGUAGGUGGCAAGCGUUAUCCGGAAUUAUUGGGCGUAAAGGGGGAGCAGGCGGCAGCAAAGGUCUGUGGUGAAAGACUGAAGCUUAACUUCAGUAAGCCAUAGAAACCGGGCAGCUAGAGUGCAGGAGAGGAUCGUGGAAUUCCAUGUGUAGCGGUGAAAUGCGUAGAUAUAUGGAGGAACACCAGUGGCGAAGGCGACGAUCUGGCCUGCAACUGACGCUCAGUCCCGAAAGCGUGGGGAGCAAAUAGG
RNAcentral lists this ribosomal RNA (252 nucleotides) under uncultured bacterium. Its description in RNAcentral is "partial 16S ribosomal RNA". It matches the Rfam family "Bacterial small subunit ribosomal RNA", at positions 524 to 776 of the family's 1533-position model. The record is from RNAcentral.